This is a non-coding RNA of Equus caballus (horse), 133 nucleotides long. The record is from Rfam. NCBI's taxonomy places the organism in Eukaryota, Metazoa, Chordata, Mammalia, Perissodactyla, Equidae.
CAGGUCAACUAGGAAUCUGUGUGGUCAACUGUUCUCUUGCCAGGACACAGGAAACGCGUUGGUAUAAAUUCUUGUUUGGAGGCUGCAAAAAGCGUCGCACAGAGAAGGGGGAGGAGUGGCUGAUAAGUCAGAG